Molecule: ribosomal RNA, 447 nt
Filed under: uncultured bacterium
Lineage: Bacteria
Description: partial 16S ribosomal RNA
Rfam family: Bacterial small subunit ribosomal RNA
Source: RNAcentral
AACGAACGCUGGCGGCAGGCUUAACACAUGCAAGUCGAACGCCCCGCAAGGGGAGUGGCAGACGGGUGAGUAACGCGUGGGAAUCUACCCAUCUCUGCGGAAUAGCUCCGGGAAACUGGAAUUAACACCGCAUACGCCCUACGGGGGAAAGAUUUAUCGGGGAUGGAUGAGCCCGCGUUGGAUUAGCUAGUUGGUGGGGUAAAGGCCUACCAAGGCGACGAUCCAUAGCUGGUCUGAGAGGAUGAUCAGCCACAUUGGGACUGAGACACGGCCCAAACUCCUCCGGGGGGCAGCAGUGGGGAAUAUUGGACAAUGGGCGCAAGCCUGAUCCAGCCAUGCCGCGUGAGUGAUGAAGGCCUUAGGGUUGUAAAGCUCUUUCACCGGUGAAGAUAAUGACGGUAACCGGAGAAGAAGCCCCGGCUAACUUCGUGCCAGCCGCCGCCGUAA